Molecule: long non-coding RNA, 1352 nt
Organism: Heterocephalus glaber (naked mole-rat)
Lineage: Eukaryota; Metazoa; Chordata; Mammalia; Rodentia; Bathyergidae
Source: Ensembl
GCUGCUGCUAGAUGGUAAAGAAAGUUUUCCAUUGCUGGUGGAAAUCAUUUUUGCUUUAAUGCCUCGAAAUUGAGGAGUCACUUUCCUCCAUCGUCCACAACUUCUAAAAUUGGUUGCUAGGCUGGUGAAGAUUUCCUUUGUUUUUAGGGCAACAUCCUGUACAAUCUGGCUGUCCGACUUCUCUGGGUCUCCACUGACUGGACAAUCAACUGACCAGUUUCUUUGUGCAGCCUGCCCAUUGUCAGGGGCUCUUUUGCAAAUGGAGCAAUAGUGAUGUCACUCUCUGCCAGAUUCAUGAACACAUCACAAAGAUCCAGUCUACUGCUCACCCACCUCCAGGUCUACAAAUCUAGCUGUAUAACCUGUGUGCAUCUGCAGGGCUUCCAGCUCAUCAGCAUGAGAUGCGCAUAAGAAUGCAGGCAGUAUGAUCCUGUGGAUGCCACGCCAGGACAGGCAGGAUCUUGUGGAAAGACUGGCAGGAUCAGCCUGACUGUGAGCAUCAGCUGAGUGCCUGCUGCCUCAAGCUCAGCCAUCUUCAGGCAGCCUGCCCAGCUUCAGUGCUCUUGUAGCCUUUUUAAGCCACCCUGCAAAGUACCUCCUCUCUUCUUGUUCUCAGCAACUCAACUUAUGAUUCCAUUGAUUGGUGCUGGUCUCACUGCAAAUCCUUUCUCAUCAUCAACAAUAACAACAACAAAACAUUUUGGGGAAUCUCAAGAUAUUCAGAACAAAUUUAGUGGAUUAGAACUCAGCUAGGCUGGCUCUGAUAAUACAGGUCCAGUCAAUGUUCUGGAAUCUUUCCUAAAAGAUACAGAAGCUCUGAUAUAGAUUCACCUUCUCCAACACCUAUUGAGUCUGUUUCUCUGCAGAAAGAGGCUGAAGAAAGCAGCAGUUGCCUCUCUCUGAGUAGAGGAUGGAGCUGCAGAGAAAAAAAAUUCUGAAAACUCCAACUUCAAGCUUCAAGUCUAAGAGAAGAGUGAUACCUCCAAGACAGCCCCCAGUGAUCCUCACCCCAUGGCACUGAAGUAUUUUUCUAGUUUCUUUCCAAGUUGAAUGAGGGUUACCUCAUGGGAUGAAUAGAUGAUGUGUGAAUUCCAAGGAUAGGUCAUAAGAGGCAUUGCAGCUGCUUGGUCUAUGAAAUUACUUGCUCUGGGAGAAGCCAGCCACCAUGCUGUGAGGCUGCCCAGUCAUCCUUUUGACGGGACCAACUUGUCAAUCACAUUGAUAAGCAACCUUGGAAGCAGAUCCUCCAGCUCCCAUCAGGCUUCAGAUGACUGCAGUCAACAUCUUGCCUACAGUCACAUGAAAGACCCCAAAGAAGAGCCACUCAGCCAAACCAAACUGUUGUGGACCCC